UACGUAGGGUGCAAGCGUUAAUCGGAAUUACUGGGCGUAAAGCGUGCGCAGGCGGUUUUGUAAGUCUGUUGUGAAAUCCCCGGGCUCAACCUGGGAACUGCAUUUGUGACUGUAGAGCUGGAGUACGGCAGAGGGGGAUGGAAUUCCGCGUGUAGCAGUGAAAUGCGUAGAUAUGCGGAGGAACACCGAUGGCGAAGGCAAUCCCCUGGGCCUGUACUGACGCUCAUGCACGAAAGCGUGGGGAGCAAACAGG
Molecule: ribosomal RNA, 253 nt
Filed under: uncultured bacterium
Lineage: Bacteria
Description: partial 16S ribosomal RNA
Rfam family: Bacterial small subunit ribosomal RNA
Source: RNAcentral